AACCAGGCGAUGACGGGGAGCAGUAAUCUGUAACCUCCUGCCCAGAGAAUCGGCGGCCGGUGCGAGCUGAUGAGGAGGAACGGGUGAACUCACCCCGUCGCCUCACAGGGGAAAUACAUCGAGUAUCCUGUGACGACUGAUCCCCGAUAACGGAUCCGGAAGAGCGGGCAUCCAACGAUGCCAAGCAGGGUGGUACCGCGGGAGAUUGUGAACCAACCUCUCGUCCCUGGC
This 231-nucleotide non-coding RNA is filed under the name Desmospora sp. Its description in RNAcentral is "T-box sequence". It matches the Rfam family "T-box leader". From Rfam's summary of the family: Uncharged tRNA acts as the effector for transcription antitermination of genes in the T-box leader family. T-boxes are found upstream of many aminoacyl-tRNA synthetase genes and some amino acid biosynthetic genes usually in Gram-positive bacteria. Lineage: Bacteria; Bacillati; Bacillota; Bacilli; Caryophanales; Thermoactinomycetaceae. The record is from RNAcentral.